This 70-nucleotide transfer RNA is filed under the name Notolychnus valdiviae. RNAcentral describes it as "tRNA-Ser (AGY)". The record is from RNAcentral. Lineage: Eukaryota; Metazoa; Chordata; Actinopteri; Myctophiformes; Myctophidae.
GAGGGUGGCUCGACAGCAGUAAAGACUGCUAAUCUUAUACCCCCUUGGUUAAACCCCAAGGCUCCCUCGU